UACGUAGGGUGCAAGCGUUGUCCGGAAUUAUUGGGCGUAAAGGGCUCGUAGGCGGUUUGUCGCGUCGGGAGUGAAAACUCAGGGCUUAACCCUGAGCCUGCUUCCGAUACGGGCAGACUAGAGGUAUGCAGGGGAGAGUGGAAUUCCUGGUGUAGCGGUGAAAUGCGCAGAUAUCAGGAGGAACACCGGUGGCGAAGGCGGUUCUCUAGGCAUUACCUGACGCUGAGGAGCGAAAGUGUGGGGAGCGAACAGG
RNAcentral lists this ribosomal RNA (253 nucleotides) under uncultured bacterium. RNAcentral describes it as "partial 16S ribosomal RNA". It matches the Rfam family "Bacterial small subunit ribosomal RNA", at positions 524 to 776 of the family's 1533-position model. The record is from RNAcentral.